GCAAGUCUGGUGCCAGCAGCCGCGGUAAUUCCAGCUCCAAUAGCGUAUAUUAGAGUUGUUGCAGUUAGAAAGCUCGUAGUUGAACCUUGGGCCUGGCUGGCCGGUCCGCCUCACCGCGUGCACUGGUCCGGCCGGGCCUUUCCUUCUGGGGAGCCUCAUGCCCUUCACUGGGUGUGUUGGGGAACCAGGACUUUUACUUUGAAAAAAUUAGAGUGUUCAAAGCAGGCCUAUGCUCGAAUACAUUAGCGUGGAAUAAUAGAAUAGGACGUGUGGUUCUAUUUUGUUGGUUUCUAGGACCGCCGUAAUGAUUAAUAGGGAUAGUCGGGGGCAUCAGUAUUCAAUUGUCAGAGGUGAAAUUCUUGGAUUUAUUGAAGACUAACUACUGCGAAAGCAUUUGCCAAGGAUGUUUUCAUUAAUCAGUGAACGAAAGUUAGGGGAUCGAAGGCGAUUAU
RNAcentral lists this ribosomal RNA (452 nucleotides) under Rutstroemia firma. Its description in RNAcentral is "SSU rRNA". It matches the Rfam family "Eukaryotic small subunit ribosomal RNA", at positions 555 to 1011 of the family's 1831-position model. The record is from RNAcentral. Lineage: Eukaryota; Fungi; Ascomycota; Leotiomycetes; Helotiales; Rutstroemiaceae.